RNAcentral lists this ribosomal RNA (545 nucleotides) under Escherichia coli. RNAcentral describes it as "partial 23S ribosomal RNA". It matches the Rfam family "Bacterial large subunit ribosomal RNA", at positions 609 to 1154 of the family's 2925-position model. RNAcentral also lists the same sequence under 1 other name. Lineage: Bacteria; Pseudomonadati; Pseudomonadota; Gammaproteobacteria; Enterobacterales; Enterobacteriaceae. The record is from RNAcentral.
UGUAUAAUGGGUCAGCGACUUAUAUUCUGUAGCAAGGUUAACCGAAUAGGGGAGCCGAAGGGAAACCGAGUCUUAACUGGGCGUUAAGUUGCAGGGUAUAGACCCGAAACCCGGUGAUCUAGCCAUGGGCAGGUUGAAGGUUGGGUAACACUAACUGGAGGACCGAACCGACUAAUGUUGAAAAAUUAGCGGAUGACUUGUGGCUGGGGGUGAAAGGCCAAUCAAACCGGGAGAUAGCUGGUUCUCCCCGAAAGCUAUUUAGGUAGCGCCUCGUGAAUUCAUCUCCGGGGGUAGAGCACUGUUUCGGCAAGGGGGUCAUCCCGACUUACCAACCCGAUGCAAACUGCGAAUACCGGAGAAUGUUAUCACGGGAGACACACGGCGGGUGCUAACGUCCGUCGUGAAGAGGGAAACAACCCAGACCGCCAGCUAAGGUCCCAAAGUCAUGGUUAAGUGGGAAACGAUGUGGGAAGGCCCAGACAGCCAGGAUGUUGGCUUAGAAGCAGCCAUCAUUUAAAGAAAGCGUAAUAGCUCACUGGUCGAGU